ACCUUCCUGUCAUCGACCCAGAAGCCGAAUUAUUCAAGAGUGGAACUAAUGACGUAGUGGUAGCUGGGUUCGUCCUCUUCUUCCCUAACUAUUCGACGUUCCUAGCGAAGCCAGGCUUGUACGUGGAGGAUCUGUUCGUGAGGGAGUGUUACAGAAGGAAAGGAAUGGGGAAGAUGCUGCUAUCGGCGGUGGCUGCUCAGGCGGUGAAAAUGGGAUAUGGGAGAGUGGAGUGGACGGUGCUGGAUUGGAAUGUAAAUGCUAUUAAGUUUUAUGAAGAGAUGGGUGCGAAGGUUUUGACAGAUUGGAGGAUUUGCAGGUUGACUGGUGAAGCUCUUGAGGCUUAUCGUGAUGCCAUUUGAGGUUUGCAGGACAAGUAUAGGGUUAUGGCUUUGUGGGGUUUUUAUUUGGUUUUAAGGUGAGCUAAAAUGAUACUGUAAUGAAUGAAAAUUGGUGAAGAAGAAGAAUGUGAGGUUUUAGUUAUAUGCUAUAAUAUAUGUUUUAUCUGCAAGUAAUUUCAACUGUUUGUGAAAUUUUUGCUUU
This 540-nucleotide unclassified non-coding RNA is filed under the name Hevea brasiliensis (rubber tree). The record is from RNAcentral. Lineage: Eukaryota; Viridiplantae; Streptophyta; Magnoliopsida; Malpighiales; Euphorbiaceae.